GCUGUGAUGGCCGAGUGGUUAAGGCGUUGGACAUGAAAUCCAAUGGGGUUUCCCCGCACAGGUUCGAACCCUGUUCACAGCG
RNAcentral lists this transfer RNA (82 nucleotides) under Albula goreensis. It matches the Rfam family "tRNA". From Rfam's summary of the family: Transfer RNA (tRNA) molecules are approximately 80 nucleotides in length. Their secondary structure includes four short double-helical elements and three loops (D, anti-codon, and T loops). The record is from Rfam by way of RNAcentral. Lineage: Eukaryota; Metazoa; Chordata; Actinopteri; Albuliformes; Albulidae.